GGAAGAUUGACAGAGCGGUAAUGUGUUGGCUUGCUACGCCACAGCUGGCCUAUGGGCUACAGGAGUUCGAUUCUCCUAUCUUCCUCCA
This 88-nucleotide transfer RNA is filed under the name Kofleriaceae bacterium. RNAcentral describes it as "tRNA-Ser". It matches the Rfam family "tRNA". From Rfam's summary of the family: Transfer RNA (tRNA) molecules are approximately 80 nucleotides in length. Their secondary structure includes four short double-helical elements and three loops (D, anti-codon, and T loops). Further hydrogen bonds mediate the characteristic L-shaped molecular structure. tRNAs have two regions of fundamental functional importance: the anti-codon, which is responsible for specific mRNA codon recognition, and the 3' end, to which the tRNAs corresponding amino acid is attached (by aminoacyl-tRNA synthetases). tRNAs cope with the degeneracy of the genetic code in two manners: having more than one tRNA (with a specific anti-codon) for a particular amino acid; and 'wobble' base-pairing, i.e. permitting non-standard base-pairing at the 3rd anti-codon position. The record is from RNAcentral. Lineage: Bacteria; Pseudomonadati; Myxococcota; Haliangiales; Kofleriaceae.